Molecule: unclassified non-coding RNA, 279 nt
Filed under: plant metagenome
Description: partial contains small subunit ribosomal RNA, internal transcribed spacer 1, and 5.8S ribosomal RNA
Source: RNAcentral
UUUCCGUAGGUGAACCUGCGGAAGGAUCAUUAUUAUAUAACCUAAGGCCGCUUCCUAUCACUGACCCCACAUGUCGUUCACUCCCGAGUUCCCUCACACACAUCCAUCUCACCCCUAUGUUCACCACCGCGUGGCCCCCCCUGUGCCUUGUUCGUCGGAUACCUUACUGUUUCACACAAACUUUGUUUGCAAUGUCACAUGUAUUUUUUGUUUUUCCGAUCACGCAAUCAAUACAACUUUCAACAACAGAUCUCUUGGCGCUCGCAUCAAUGAACAUCC